RNAcentral lists this ribosomal RNA (462 nucleotides) under Laubierpholoe cf. swedmarki BCG-2017. Its description in RNAcentral is "partial 16S ribosomal RNA". It matches the Rfam family "Bacterial large subunit ribosomal RNA", at positions 1832 to 2609 of the family's 2925-position model. The record is from RNAcentral. Lineage: Eukaryota; Metazoa; Annelida; Polychaeta; Phyllodocida; Pholoidae.
UUAAGAAUAAAUAAUUUAAAAUAAAUUCUGCCCUAUGAUACAUUAAAUGGCCGCGUUAAUCCGUGCAAAGGUAGCAUAAUAAUUUGCCUCUUAAUUGGUGGCUGGUAUGAACGAAUAAACUUAUAAAAAUUUUAUUAGAUUAAUCACAUGGAAAUUGGCGUUAAAGUGAAGAGACUUUAAUUGAUUUAAAAGACAAAAAGACCCUAAGAGUUUUACUUUAUAAAAGUUUAGUUGGGGAAACUGAGAAAUAUAUAAAACUUUCUUGAAUGUAAGCGAUGUAUUAUCCCACCAAUCUACCCUGUGUGAAUACUUAAAACUACCUUAGGGAUAACAGAUCAAUCUAUUUUGUGAGUUCAUAUUAACAAAUAGGCUUGAUACCUCGAUGUUGGCUUAGAAAUUAAAUUAAAUGAAGGAGUUUGAAUUUAUAGUUUGUUCAACUAUUAAAUUUCCACGUGAUCUGAG